UUCUUCACAGUCAAGAGAAGCUUUUUAUCCUUUGAUGAAAAGUGAAGCUUUUGUUACUUAGCAGUAAAGUUGAGUUAUGGACAACAGACUGACAGACAUCAAAUCUUGUGACUUGGAAGGAGACUUUCCAUGUGACAAUAAUUGAAAGAAUCAUAUUAUCAGACCUGAAAGCAAUGAGGGGGCAGCUGAUGGAACAAAUUCCUAGCACUUUUCCCUUGUUCCUCAGAAAAGAAAAAGAAGGCAUGCUAGCAUGCACUCAUGCGCGCACACUCUCCUAAGAGGUCCAGUUACUCCUACGUCCAUGGGCACAUAUGUUGACUGCAUCCAAAAGGGUUAUUCAAAUGAAGACCUUUUCUUCUGCUGUUCUGGAACCUCGCAGUUAUGGAGCAGAAGCAAUGGAAAACAAUGUUCAUGAUUGACAAACUAGUUAUUGCAGUAUAAAACAUGGAACUCAGGAAGAGAGGGAUCCAAGUCAUUUUGAGCAUGGAGUGCACCAACUACAGUUCAAAGUAAUGAAGGAAAGCAACAUGGUAUGACAUCAAUAGUCAGAAGUUCCAAGAUUAUGGUCCAGAUUGACUCUCGAAAGGUGACAAAUAUUUCAUCAUCUUGAAUUUUUUUUAAAUA
Long non-coding RNA from Musa acuminata AAA Group (dessert banana), 624 nucleotides. RefSeq lists it as uncharacterized. NCBI's taxonomy places the organism in Eukaryota, Viridiplantae, Streptophyta, Magnoliopsida, Zingiberales, Musaceae. The transcript is spliced from 4 exons. The record is from RefSeq and is a predicted model, not a curated record.